This 576-nucleotide ribosomal RNA is filed under the name Triticum aestivum (bread wheat). Its description in RNAcentral is "partial small subunit ribosomal RNA". The record is from RNAcentral. Lineage: Eukaryota; Viridiplantae; Streptophyta; Magnoliopsida; Poales; Poaceae.
AUGUCAUGCCCCUCUGGCGUGGAAGAUGUUGGCUCUAUGGAGGAAGGCAGACAAGAGUUAUAUGGAUGUUUCUCCCCUCGUGUUGAGAACGGUUCAUCGUCACUCUCGGGCAAGUCCAUUGUCGUGCUUGAUGCUCCGGUGUUGCAGGUCAUGCCCGAGCUACGAGAGCUAUGUCUUAGCCCUGGUUCGCCUCUCUCUGUAGAGCAUUUGGAGGUGGUCUCAUCGACGGCCUCGUGUGAGGGGCAUGUGUUGCCAAAGUCAUGUGAGCAACUGGAGGUGCCUAAGUCCAUUGCAUUGGCGGUUCAUGUGGUCGAUGAGGUUGCGUCGGUGAUUCCUUUGGUUGAGGUUGUUGAUGCGGUCAGUGUGUUGAUGCCUGCUCCUGGCGGCGUCUUGGUUGAUGACAACGAAACUAAAAAAUUCAAUGAGUUUUAUGAUUUUCUUGACAAAUGGGUGGCUCAUCAGCCGGUAUCCAGCAAGACAAGUGACCCUCCAAAGAAGAAGUCAACUAAGGAGAAACCAAAGAAGAAGAAAAACAAGAAGUGUGGCGCCAUCCGAAAGGCGUCUGUGGUUCCAUGA